RNAcentral lists this ribosomal RNA (497 nucleotides) under uncultured bacterium. Its description in RNAcentral is "partial 16S ribosomal RNA". It matches the Rfam family "Bacterial small subunit ribosomal RNA", at positions 28 to 507 of the family's 1533-position model. The record is from RNAcentral.
GACGAACGCUGGCGGCGUGCCUAAUACAUGCAAGUAGAACGCUGAAGAGAGGAGCUUGCUCUUCUUGGAUGAGUUGCGAACGGGUGAGUAACGCGUAGGUAACCUGCCUGGUAGCGGGGGAUAACUAUUGGAAACGAUAGCUAAUACCGCAUAAAAUGGAUUAUCGCAUGAUAAUCCAUUGAAAGGUGCAAAUGCAUCACUACCAGAUGGACCUGCGUUGUAUUAGCUAGUUGGUGGGGUAACGGCUCACCAAGGCGACGAUACAUAGCCGACCUGAGAGGGUGAUCGGCCACACUGGGACUGAGACACGGCCCAGACUCCUACGGGAGGCAGCAGUAGGGAAUCUUCGGCAAUGGACGGAAGUCUGACCGAGCAACGCCGCGUGAGUGAAGAAGGUUUUCGGAUCGUAAAGCUCUGUUGUAAGAGAAGAACGAGUGUGAGAGUGGAAAGUUCACACUGUGACGGUAGCUCACCAGAAAGGGACGGCUAACUACGUG